RNAcentral lists this ribosomal RNA (465 nucleotides) under uncultured Klebsiella sp. RNAcentral's name for it is "bacterial SSU rRNA". It matches the Rfam family "Bacterial small subunit ribosomal RNA", at positions 338 to 795 of the family's 1533-position model. Lineage: Bacteria; Pseudomonadati; Pseudomonadota; Gammaproteobacteria; Enterobacterales; Enterobacteriaceae. The record is from RNAcentral.
CCUACGGGGGGCAGCAGUGGGGAAUAUUGCACAAUGGGCGCAAGCCUGAUGCAGCCAUGCCGCGUGUGUGAAGAAGGCCUUCGGGUUGUAAAGCACUUUCAGCGGGGAGGAAGGCGGUGAGGUUAAUAACCUCAUCGAUUGACGUUACCCGCAGAAGAAGCACCGGCUAACUCCGUGUCAGCAGCCGCGGUAAUACGGAGGGUGCAAGCGUUAAUCGGAAUUACUGGGCGUAAAGCGCACGCAGGCGGUCUGUCAAGUCGGAUGUGAAAUCCCCGGGCUCAACCUGGGAACUGCAUUCGAAACUGGCAGGCUAGAGUCUUGUAGAGGGGGGUAGAAUUCCAGGUGUAGCGGUGAAAUGCGUAGAGAUCUGGAGGAAUACCGGUGGCGAAGGCGGCCCCCUGGACAAAGACUGACGCUCAGGUGCGAAAGCGUGGGGAGCAAACAGGAUUAGAUACCCGUGUAGUC